UCCCUGGUGGCUCAGAUGGUUAAGCGUCUGCCUACAAUGCAGGAGACCUGGGUUCAGUCCCUGGAUUGGGAA
Bos taurus (domestic cattle) is the source of this 72-nucleotide non-coding RNA. NCBI's taxonomy places the organism in Eukaryota, Metazoa, Chordata, Mammalia, Artiodactyla, Bovidae. The record is from Rfam.